This is a long non-coding RNA of Carassius auratus (goldfish), 352 nucleotides long. RefSeq lists it as uncharacterized. Lineage: Eukaryota; Metazoa; Chordata; Actinopteri; Cypriniformes; Cyprinidae. The transcript is spliced from 3 exons. The record is from RefSeq and is a predicted model, not a curated record.
UUCUGAGCAGCCCUUGUAAGUAAGCUUUAUUUCUAUAGCACUUUUCACAGACAAAAAAGUCACAAAGUGCUUCACAAAAUUAAAUUAAAAUAUACACUUAACAGAUAUACUCAUGCACAUAACAUACAAAUAUACACAGAUACACAAAAACAUACAAAACCAUAUUGCUAAUUAAAUGCUUGUCUAAAAAGAUGCGUCUUAAGGCAUUUUUUAAAAGCUUCCACUGAAUCCAAAGCUCUCAAGGCUAAUGGAAGGGAGUUCCAGAGCCUUGGAGCCACCACACAGAAGGCUCGGUCACCUCUUGUUUUAAAACGUGUUCUAGGAACAGUUAAAAGGUCUUGACCAGAAGACC